RNAcentral lists this ribosomal RNA (1456 nucleotides) under uncultured organism. Its description in RNAcentral is "16S ribosomal RNA". It matches the Rfam family "Bacterial small subunit ribosomal RNA". The record is from RNAcentral.
GAUGAACGCUAGCUACAGGCUUAACACAUGCAAGUCGAGGGGCAGCAUGGUCUUAGCUUGCUAAGGCCGAUGGCGACCGGCGCACGGGUGAGUAACACGUAUCCAACCUGCCGUCUACUCUUGGACAGCCUUCUGAAAGGAAGAUUAAUACAAGAUGGCAUCAUGAGUCCGCAUGUUCACAUGAUUAAAGGUAUUCCGGUAGACGAUGGGGAUGCGUUCCAUUAGAUAGUAGGCGGGGUAACGGCCCACCUAGUCUUCGAUGGAUAGGGGUUCUGAGAGGAAGGUCCCCCACAUUGGAACUGAGACACGGUCCAAACCCCUACGGGAGGCAGCAGUGAGGAAUAUUGGUCAAUGGGCGAGAGCCUGAACCAGCCAAGUAGCGUGAAGGAUGACUGCCCUAUGGGUUGUAAACUUCUUUUAUAAAGGAAUAAAGUCGGGUAUGCAUACCCGUUUGCAUGUACUUUAUGAAUAAGGAUCGGCUAACUCCGUGCCAGCAGCCGCGGUAAUACGGAGGAUCCGAGCGUUAUCCGGAUUUAUUGGGUUUAAAGGGAGCGUAGAUGGAUGUUUAAGUCAGUUGUGAAAGUUUGCGGCUCAACCGUAAAAUUGCAGUUGAUACUGGAUAUCUUGAGUGCAGUUGAGGCAGGCGGAAUUCGUGGUGUAGCGGUGAAAUGCUUAGAUAUCACGAAGAACUCCGAUUGCGAAGGCAGCCUGCUAAGCUGCAACUGACAUUGAGGCUCGAAAGUGUGGGUAUCAAACAGGAUUAGAUACCCUGGUAGUCCACACGGUAAACGAUGAAUACUCGCUGUUUGCGAUAUACAGCAAGCGGCCAAGCGAAAGCGUUAAGUAUUCCACCUGGGGAGUACGCCGGCAACGGUGAAACUCAAAGGAAUUGACGGGGGCCCGCACAAGCGGAGGAACAUGUGGUUUAAUUCGAUGAUACGCGAGGAACCUUACCCGGGCUUAAAUUGCAGAUGAAUUACGGUGAAAGCCGUAAGCCGCAAGGCAUCUGUGAAGGUGCUGCAUGGUUGUCGUCAGCUCGUGCCGUGAGGUGUCGGCUUAAGUGCCAUAACGAGCGCAACCCUUGUUGUCAGUUACUAACAGGUUCCGCUGAGGACUCUGACAAGACUGCCAUCGUAAGAUGUGAGGAAGGUGGGGAUGACGUCAAAUCAGCACGGCCCUUACGUCCGGGGCUACACACGUGUUACAAUGGGGGGGUACAGAGGGCCGCUACCACGCGAGUGGAUGCCAAUCCCAAAAACCUCUCUCAGUUCGGACUGGAGUCUGCAACCCGACUCCACGAAGCUGGAUUCGCUAGUAAUCGCGCAUCAGCCACGGCGCGGUGAAUACGUUCCCGGGCCUUGUACACACCGCCCGUCAAGCCAUGGGAGCCGGGGGUACCUGAAGUGCGUAACCGCGAGGAGCGCCCUAGGGUAAAACUGGUGACUGGGGCUAAGUC